UAGGGAAUCUUCCACAAUGGACGAAAGUCUGAUGGAGCAACGCCGCGUGUGUGAUGAAGGGUUUCGGCUCGUAAAACACUGUUGUAAGAGAAGAAUGACAUUGAGAGUAACUGUUCAAUGUGUGACGGUAUCUUACCAGAAAGGAACGGCUAAAUACGUGCCAG
Molecule: ribosomal RNA, 164 nt
Filed under: uncultured bacterium
Lineage: Bacteria
Description: partial 16S ribosomal RNA
Rfam family: Bacterial small subunit ribosomal RNA
Source: RNAcentral